This 478-nucleotide ribosomal RNA is filed under the name uncultured bacterium. RNAcentral's name for it is "partial 16S ribosomal RNA". It matches the Rfam family "Bacterial small subunit ribosomal RNA", at positions 28 to 523 of the family's 1533-position model. The record is from RNAcentral.
GACGAACGCUGGCGGCGUGCUUAACACAUGCAAGUCGAACGGUAAGGCCCUCCGGGGUACACGAGUGGCGAACGGGUGAGUAACACGUGGGUGAUCUGCCCUGCACUUCGGGAUUAGCCUGGGAAACUGGGUCUAAUACCGGAUAGGACCACUGCCUGCAUGGGUGGUGGUGGAAAGCUUUUGCGGUGUGGGAUGGGCCCGCGGCCUAUCAGCUUGUUGGUGGGGUGAUGGCCUACCAAGGCGACGACGGGUAGCCGGCCUGAGAGGGUGACCGGCCACACUGGGACUGAGAUACGGCCCAGACUCCUACGGGAGGCAGCAGUGGGCAAUAUUGCACAAUGGGCGCAAGCCUGAUGCAGCGACGCCGCGUGGGGGAUGACGGCCUUCGGGUUGUAAACCUCUUUCAGCACCGACGAAGCGCAAGUGACGGUAGGUGCAGAAGAAGGACCGGCCAACUACGUGCCAGCCGCCGCAGUAA